AGUGGGAUACCUGGGUCAAAUGGUGGUUCCAUUACCAGUUUUUCAAGGAAUCUCCAGACCGCUUUCCAUAUUGGCUGUACCAAUUUGCAGUCCCACCAGGAUU
Molecule: microRNA precursor, 103 nt
Filed under: Marmota monax (woodchuck)
Lineage: Eukaryota; Metazoa; Chordata; Mammalia; Rodentia; Sciuridae
Source: RNAcentral